CAAAAGAUAACUACUGUAGAGCAUCUUAUAGAGAUUGGAAAGGGUUAAUAUUUUAAUUCCUUGCAAUCUCAAAGAAAAAGGAACGAGAGUAGGAGGGAUGGAGGAUAAAAGCACCUGCAAACAAAAAAACAAAAGAAGAAGCUAAUAUCAAGCCUUAAGGAAAAUAAGAGAAGAAUUAGUGUCAAAGUGCACUACGUAACUAACCUAAAGCAAAAGGGGAUAGGGUAUGAAGCAAUUGAAAUUCGGCAGAAGUGAUCGGAGGCAACAAAAGAUGAGAGUUUACUUCUUUCUAAUGAAGGGAUUUUUGGAAUGGAGGAGAACAAGCUAGGUAAUUUAAUCCCUUUUUUUCCCUUGGUAAUUUAUUUGAUAUUUCCUUUAUUCAAUACCUAGCCUAUUAUUAGUUAUUGAUUUUGUAAUUUAGGGUAAAGAUAACAAAGUAUUCUUAAGGUGUUUCAAUAUAGCACAAUCAUGGAAUUCCUAUUAGAUUGAACAAAAAACCUAUCAGUUUAUAUUAAGCACUUUACUAUGCAAGUUAGCAGUGCUUGUAAACUGCUACAUAAGGAUAUGAGUAUUGUUUUUGUGUCAAACAAAAUAAAUUCUUCUUGUCCUAUAUAUAUAUUAGUAUAAAUCAAAUAAUAAGAAUAGAUUUUAAAAAAAAAAAACAAGAUGCAACUCCUAGCCAAUUAAGUAAUACUAAAUUAAUUAACAGAGAAUUAAGGGUCAUAUUUCAGAGGAAUGGAUAUCGGGGAAUUGAUUAAAUGUGAUAGAAAUGGACCAAUUACGUUGGCAAUUCACGAAGUUGAUGCAAGAUUGAUUUUGUAACAUUAUAGGUAGUUGAAGAAGUUGAAUGUGUGCUCGAGCUGGCGCGCUUGUUAUGUUGGCGCGAGUACUGUGAGUAGUAAUCUUACCACAAUUUGUAUUUUCAUAACCUGCAUGGUUUAUAAAUUAUUUUGAAAAUAAAAUAUGUUACCGAAUGUUUGAAAUUGCAUGUGGGACAAGUCUUACUUGAUAUGGUACUGAAUAGUUUACUUGAGAUGUUUAUAGUUAUUUAAAAUGUUCCCUGUUACUAGACAUGUUUUACUAUUACUAGAGAUAUGAUUACCAUUACCGAAAUUGGAUUACAUGAUUUGAUAAAAAUUAAAAUGCCCUGUACUGUUUUGAAAAUUCUUCUAUGUGAAGAUUUACUGUUUACAAAGAAAAAUAUGAAUGGGAGGAGACUUUGAAGGAUCCCGUAGCUAACGACGAGACCUGGUGCACCUUGUAUUUACUGGUUACCGUGUACAGUUAGAGCCCUCGCUAGUGGGAAGGUAGAACUAGCAUACAGAUAUAGUUUUCCCUCAAGUAGGGACCUACAGUUAUAUUUGACUCCUCUUAAGAAGGGGUCCAUAGAGUGAUACAGAUUACAUGAUCCUUUCUUGGUAACCUCCCAAAUAUAAAGAUUUGAUAUGACACAGUAUUACCGAGUUUAUUAUUGAAUUGUUAAAUUGAUUUUGUUGCAGGAAACACAUGAUGAGACUGAUUAUUAUUACCGUUUUAAAAAAGGGCAUUUUAUUUUGUUAUUAUUAUACAAGCAUGAUUUCUUACUUGUCCCCAAUUAAAAACGGUUGUGGUUAAAUAUUAUUACUCACUGAGCUAGCGACUUCACUCCCCGCUAUUAUUUUUUUUACAGACACAGCAGUUGACGCAAACGAGAAUUUCGUUAAUUAGAGUAUACGAGUUGAUAGUUCCUGGUGAGCCCCACACUUAUUCGCGUGGGCGAAGAGUUUAUUUCUUUGUUAUCGUGUUUUCUAUUUAACUCAUAGAGUCGCUCCAUAGUCAUUCUUUUAGUGUCAUGAGUAUUCUUUCGUUAUUAUAGACUUAUGAUGAGUAUUGCACUUCCUUAUUGAAUUUGGAGAUAAAUUAGUAUUUGUGGCUGUUAGUGAGUAUAUUAUAAUGAUUGAGACUUGUUUUGGUUAAUGUAUAAAGUUAUUGUUGGUUGGAUUGAUAUUAAGAUGUUUGGUUGUUGAUUUUGCGACAUAAAUUUUUUUUGGAUAGUCCAAAAAUAGUGGAAACUCUGUCCGUUUUUUUUUAAAUAUCAAUGAGGCUUACUUAGGAGCACGCCGAUCAUGAUCCUAAAUUGGAUCGUGACAUUUCUGGUGUAGAAACUCAAGUUAGUUGCUAACUGCACUGAAGCUGUUAGAAAGCAGUUUCAAUAAACCAGUUGUGUGGCUAAAUUACAAAAGG
RNAcentral lists this long non-coding RNA (2223 nucleotides) under Nicotiana tabacum (common tobacco). RNAcentral describes it as "long non-coding RNA (NTAB_LNC015508)". The record is from RNAcentral. Lineage: Eukaryota; Viridiplantae; Streptophyta; Magnoliopsida; Solanales; Solanaceae.